CCCUUAGACGUUCUGGGCCGCACGCGCGCUACACUGACCAGUGCAACAAGCAUCCGUCCUUGGCCGACAGGCCCGGGCAAUCUUUGAACGCUGGUCGUGAUGGGGAUAGACUUUUGCAAUUUUUGGUCUUCAACGAGGAAUUCCUAGUAAACGCAAGUCAUCAACUUGCAUUGAUUACGUCCCUGCCCUUUGUACACACCGCCCGUCGCACCUACCGAUUGAAUGGUCCGGUGAAGCCUCCGGAUUGGCGCGCACCUCGGUGCCGCCGAGAAGUUGGCUAAACCUUACCAUUUAGAGGAAGGAGAANUCGUAACA
RNAcentral lists this ribosomal RNA (315 nucleotides) under uncultured eukaryote. RNAcentral's name for it is "partial 18S ribosomal RNA". It matches the Rfam family "Eukaryotic small subunit ribosomal RNA", at positions 1470 to 1796 of the family's 1831-position model. The record is from RNAcentral.